GGGUGUGUGGUCUAGGGGUAUGAUCACUGCUUUGGGUGCAGUGGGUCCUGGGUUCGAAUCCCAGCACACCCC
RNAcentral lists this transfer RNA (72 nucleotides) under Diutina rugosa. RNAcentral describes it as "Candida rugosa tRNA". It matches the Rfam family "tRNA". Rfam says of the family: Transfer RNA (tRNA) molecules are approximately 80 nucleotides in length. Their secondary structure includes four short double-helical elements and three loops (D, anti-codon, and T loops). Further hydrogen bonds mediate the characteristic L-shaped molecular structure. tRNAs have two regions of fundamental functional importance: the anti-codon, which is responsible for specific mRNA codon recognition, and the 3' end, to which the tRNAs corresponding amino acid is attached (by aminoacyl-tRNA synthetases). tRNAs cope with the degeneracy of the genetic code in two manners: having more than one tRNA (with a specific anti-codon) for a particular amino acid; and 'wobble' base-pairing, i.e. permitting non-standard base-pairing at the 3rd anti-codon position. Lineage: Eukaryota; Fungi; Ascomycota; Pichiomycetes; Serinales; Debaryomycetaceae. The record is from Rfam by way of RNAcentral. RNAcentral also lists the same sequence under 1 other name.